UACAGAGGGUGCAAACGUUGUUCGGAUUUACUGGGCGUAAAGCGCGUGUAGGCUGCUUCGCAAGUCGGAUGUGAAAGCCCUGGGCUCAACCCAGGAAGUGCAUUCGAAACUGCAGAGCUGGAGUCCUGGAGAGGAAGGCGGAAUUCUCGGUGUAGAGGUGAAAUUCGUAGAUAUCGAGAGGAACACCGGUGGCGAAGGCGGCCUUCUGGACAGUGACUGACGCUGAGACGCGAAAAGCGUGGGGAGCAAACAGG
RNAcentral lists this ribosomal RNA (254 nucleotides) under uncultured bacterium. RNAcentral describes it as "partial 16S ribosomal RNA". It matches the Rfam family "Bacterial small subunit ribosomal RNA", at positions 524 to 776 of the family's 1533-position model. The record is from RNAcentral.